AACUAUAUAUUUUAAGCAAAAAAAAUUAAAUUGCAAAUUUAAAAAUACAUUAUAUUGUUAUAGUUU
This 66-nucleotide transfer RNA is filed under the name Opisthoteuthis sp. Its description in RNAcentral is "tRNA-Cys". The record is from RNAcentral. Lineage: Eukaryota; Metazoa; Mollusca; Cephalopoda; Octopoda; Opisthoteuthidae.